UCCCGUGUGGCUCAGUUGGUAGAGCAUGGUGUUUGCAAUGCAAGGGUUGUGGGUUUGAUUCCCACUGGGAC
This 71-nucleotide transfer RNA is filed under the name Salmo salar (Atlantic salmon). It matches the Rfam family "tRNA". From Rfam's summary of the family: Transfer RNA (tRNA) molecules are approximately 80 nucleotides in length. The record is from Rfam by way of RNAcentral. Lineage: Eukaryota; Metazoa; Chordata; Actinopteri; Salmoniformes; Salmonidae.